This 273-nucleotide ribosomal RNA is filed under the name uncultured bacterium. RNAcentral describes it as "partial 16S ribosomal RNA". It matches the Rfam family "Bacterial small subunit ribosomal RNA", at positions 524 to 796 of the family's 1533-position model. The record is from RNAcentral.
UACGUAGGUGGCAAGCGUUGUCCGGAUUUAUUGGGUUUAAAGGGUGCGUAGGCGGUCUUAUAAGUCAGUGCUGAAAUAUCCCGGCUUAACCGGGAGGGUGGCAUUGAUACUGUAGGACUUGAGUAAAGUUGAGGUUGGCGGAAUUGACGGUGUAGCGGUGAAAUGCUUAGAUAUCGUCAAGAACACCUAUAGCGAAGGCAGCUUACUAGGCUGUAACUGACGCUGAGGCACGAAAGUGUGGGGAUCAAACAGGAUUAGAAACCCUAGUAGUCC